Molecule: non-coding RNA, 727 nt
Organism: Salmo salar (Atlantic salmon)
Lineage: Eukaryota; Metazoa; Chordata; Actinopteri; Salmoniformes; Salmonidae
Source: RefSeq, a predicted model, not a curated record
CUGCUGGACUGGAGGAUCCACACUGCAGACUGGAGAAACUCAAUGUGGAACAUGGUGGAGAGAACACAAUGAAACCUGGACUUAGAAAAUAUGUCUGUGAUCUCACACUGGACCUAAACACAGUAAACAGACGCCUCUCUCUGUCUGAGGAGAACAGAAAGGUGACAUGUAGGAGAGAGGAGCAGCCGUAUCCUGAACACCCAGAGAGAUUUGAGGGCUGGAGACAGGUGCUGUGUAGAGAGGGUCUGACUGGGCGCUGUUACUGGGAGGUAGAGAGGAGUGGGGGAUGGGCUGAUAUUGGAGUGACAUAUAAAUUAAUCAACAGGAGAGGUGAGGGUAAUGACUGUGUUAUUGGAUCCAAUGACAAGUCCUGGAGUCUGUUCUGCUCUGAUAACCAUUACACUGCCAGGCACAAUAAUAAUCCCACUACCAUAGACGUCCGCCCUCCAGCUCCCACAGAGUAGGAGUGUAUCUGGACUGGCCAGCCGGCACUCUGUCCUUCUAUAGAGCCUCCUCUGACACACUGACCCACCUGUACACAUUCUACACCACAUUCACUGAGCCCCUCUAUCCAGGGUUUAGGGUUGAUGACACCUCUUCAGUGUCCCUGUGAUGUUUCACUCUAAUCAUGUGUUUUAUGUUUGAUCACAAUAUGACAUUUAAAUACAUGGAGUAACACACCAGUUAUGCCAGUUUAUUCCUGUAAAUAAUAACCAUGGUAACUCUG